This 379-nucleotide ribosomal RNA is filed under the name uncultured Microcystis sp. RNAcentral's name for it is "bacterial SSU rRNA". It matches the Rfam family "Bacterial small subunit ribosomal RNA", at positions 196 to 593 of the family's 1533-position model. The record is from RNAcentral. Lineage: Bacteria; Bacillati; Cyanobacteriota; Cyanophyceae; Chroococcales; Microcystaceae.
AAAGGUGAAACCUAAUUGGCCUGAAGAAGAGCUUGCGUCUGAUUAGCUAGUUGGUGGGGUAAAGGCCUACCAAGGCGACGAUCAGUAGCUGGUCUGAGAGGAUGAGCAGCCACACUGGGACUGAGACACGGCCCAGACUCCUACGGGAGGCAGCAGUGGGGAAUUUUCCGCAAUGGGCGAAAACCUGACGGAGCAACGCCGCGUGGGGGAGGAAGGUCUUUGGAUUGUAAACCUCUUUUCUCAAGGAAGAAGUUCUGACGGUACUUGAGGAAUCAGCCUCGGCUAACUCCGUGCCAGCAGCCGCGGUAAUACGGGGGAGGCAAGCGUUAUCCGGAAUUAUUGGGCGUAAAGCGUCCGCAGGUGGUCAGCCAAGUCUGCC